GGGGGUGUAGCUCAGUUGGUAGAGCGUGUCAUUAGCAUCCUCCUUCUAUCUACGUUGACAAGGUCUUUGGUUCGAUUCCUAACUCGUCCA
Apiotrichum porosum is the source of this 90-nucleotide non-coding RNA. The record is from the annotation of a RefSeq genome assembly. Lineage: Eukaryota; Fungi; Basidiomycota; Tremellomycetes; Trichosporonales; Trichosporonaceae.